CACCAGGUUGAUUCUGCCUGACGUGGAUGCUAGUUUCUAAGACUAAGCCAUGCAUGUUUAUGAAGCGAAUAUAUUGCGGAUUGAUAGACGGCUCAGUAAUACUGCGAUGAUUUGAUUGAGAUUUGUGCUUGUAACUACGGGAAACUGUAGGUAAGGGAGAGUAGUGUAUUAUUUUAGUGAUAGUACAUGUGUUGAGUAAGUUGCAGACCUAUCAACUGGUAGUUAGGGUAAUGGCCUAACUAGGUGGCGACGGGAGACGGGGGAUUAGGGUUUGAUUCCGGAGAGGGAGCCUGAGAGAUGGCUACUACGUCCAAGGAUGGCAGCAGGCGCGAAACUUGCCUAAUCUUUGGAAUAGGAGGCAGUGAUGAGACGUGAAAGUUCAGUGGUGGAUUGUAAAGAGAUGUACUGAUAUUGGAGGGCAAGUCGGGUGCCAGCAGCCGCGGUAAUACCUGCUCCGAUAGUGUCUAUGGUUAAUGCUGCAGUUAAAAAGUCCGUAGUUUUGAUUUUAUGUAGUAUGUUUUUGUUAGCCUGUGGUUAAUGUGGGGAGUGAAUGUACUUAUAGUUGUGCGCAACGGAUGAGGGGUGUUGGAUAGUUGGGCGAGAGGUGAAAUGUGAUGACCCUGACUGGACGAACUGAAGCGAAAGCGAUGCUCUUGGAUGGAUGUGUGGAUCAAGGACGAAGGCUGGAGGAUCGAAAUCGAUUAGAUACCGUUUUAGUUCCAGCAGUAAACGAUGCCGACUGUGUGGUGUUUUGAUGAGCCCUGUGCGAGAGAAAUUGAUAAGUAUGUGGGUUUUGGGGAUAGUAUGUUCGCAGACGUGAAACUUAAAGAGAUU
Molecule: ribosomal RNA, 834 nt
Filed under: Microsporidium sp. BLAT3
Lineage: Eukaryota; Fungi; Microsporidia
Description: SSU rRNA
Rfam family: Microsporidia small subunit ribosomal RNA
Source: RNAcentral